AUGCCCAUCGCCCUCCUCGCAGACGUCCCCCCUCGUCCAGGUCUCUACUCGGAGGGGCUCCCUGAACAGGCAGAGCGACGACAGGGCCGUCUCGUCGGCCGCGACGCUCAGGCGUGGCGUGUCGUAGAGGUGGUAUUCCAUGUCGCGCGGUCUCGGGGCCGGGAGCUUCUGCAGGGACACGCGGCCGGUCAUGGCGUCCACGUCGAUGGCGUGAAAGUCGACGAGGUCCCAGAUGAGCCAGUGCACCGUCCCGUGGCGCACCACGGCGCCGCGCUGCUUCAACGGCCCGAAGAUGCCGUGCUCUAUCGGGUUGAAGAGCUUGCUCGGCGCGCUCCAGCUCGGCUCGCCGCCGGACGAGAACGUCCGGAUGUCGUACUGCUGGCUGCCCUCGUUGUUGUAGCCGACGAUCAGCACCUUGAAGGACGCCGGCCCCUGGCUCACGACGGCGUACGCGCUCGCGUCCACGUAGUCGAAGAACCAGCCGCGCUCGAGCGGGGGGAGCACGUCGCAUGCGCCGGAGUGCAGGUUGCACACGGCCAGGCGGUCCACGUCGGCGCUCGGGUCCGCGCCCGCGCCGCCGGCUGGGACGAAGCGCACGAGGAGGAGGCCGCGAUGCGAGGCGAGCGGCACCGCGCGGUCGAAGAUGCCGGCGGCGCCGGGCACGAAGGAGCCCAGGAAGGGGUGUUCGGACCCGAGGACCGACCCCGGCGCGCGGACGAAGCCCGGCGAAUCAGGGACGUCCCCGCGAUCCUCUCCGCCGGGGCGGCGGCACCACUCCUGGCCGAAGAAGCCGAGGAGCGAGGAGGGGUGGCGCGCGCCGUCCGGCCAGCGGCGGCGGAGGAAGGACGGGUCGGCCACCAGCGUCCUCCAGCGCCUGCACGCCGCGGCGCAGCGGAAGAGGCCCGCCGCGUCCGGCACGCGCGCGAGGAUCUCCAGCGCGAUGUCCUCCGGGAGCGCGGCCGGCGGCGACGCCAUCGCCUUCUGAUCUCUCACCAUCGAUCGAUCCCCGGACGUACGUAUGGUAAGUGGACGUCGCGAAAGAUCGAGAUGCGGGAUUAG
Molecule: ribosomal RNA, 1059 nt
Filed under: Triticum aestivum (bread wheat)
Lineage: Eukaryota; Viridiplantae; Streptophyta; Magnoliopsida; Poales; Poaceae
Description: partial small subunit ribosomal RNA
Source: RNAcentral